Molecule: ribosomal RNA, 464 nt
Filed under: uncultured bacterium
Lineage: Bacteria
Description: SSU rRNA
Rfam family: Bacterial small subunit ribosomal RNA
Source: RNAcentral
AGGAUUAACGCUGGCGGCGUGCCUGACACAUGCAAGUCGAACGAGGCCGCAAGGCCGAGUGGCGGACGGGUGAGUAACACGUGACCAACCAACCUCGAAGUUGGGAAUAGCUCUGCGAAAGUAGGGGUAAUACCGAAUGUGGCCCAGGGCGGGCAUCCGCCUUGGUCUAAAGAUUCAUCGCUUCGAGACGGGGUCGCGGCCUAUUAGCUUGUUGGUGAGGUAACGGCUCACCAAGGCGAUGAUGGGUAGCUGGUCUGAGAGGACGACCAGCCACACUGGGACUGAGACACGGCCCAGACUCCUACGGGAGGCAGCAGUGAGGAAUCUUCCGCAAUGGGCGAAAGCCUGACGGAGCAACGCCGCGUGUGGGAUGAAGACUCUAGGGUUGUAAACCACUGGUCGGAGGGGACGAUCGUGACGGUACCCUCCAAGAACGCCCCGGCUAACUCGCGCCAGCCAGCCGC